AUAAGCGCUGAAAGCAUAUAAGCGCGAAGCAGGCCUCAAGAUUAGGUAUUUGAUCCGCAGUAGAUGACUGCGUUGAUAGGGCUUAGGUGUAAGCGCCGCGAGGCGUUGAGCCGAGAGCUACUAAUAGAUCUAUU
This 134-nucleotide ribosomal RNA is filed under the name Candidatus Yanofskybacteria bacterium RIFCSPHIGHO2_01_FULL_43_42. RNAcentral's name for it is "partial 23S ribosomal RNA". It matches the Rfam family "Bacterial large subunit ribosomal RNA", at positions 2764 to 2912 of the family's 2925-position model. The record is from RNAcentral. Lineage: Bacteria; Candidatus Yanofskyibacteriota.